GCAGGAUCGGUGGACGUGCUCUGUGGUACCCCACAAAGGGCCCCGGAGAAUAACCCCUCUGUUGUCAGCGGGUUGGCAAGAGUGGUGAGGUAUACCCUUUUCCAUUGAAAGAAGGCAGUGCAGUCUUGCAUUCUCUGGAAGAUGUCACAGCAGCAUGCUUUAUGGCAGCUUUACAGCAGUUUUUCAACACUGUGAGGCAACGCGAGUGCUGGACCGCUGCCUGGCGGCUAUCAUGAACUGGAUGAGGAUCAAUAAAUUGAAAUUGAAUCCCCA
Sphaerodactylus townsendi is the source of this 273-nucleotide long non-coding RNA. RefSeq lists it as uncharacterized. NCBI's taxonomy places the organism in Eukaryota, Metazoa, Chordata, Lepidosauria, Squamata, Sphaerodactylidae. The transcript is spliced from 3 exons. The record is from RefSeq and is a predicted model, not a curated record.